Molecule: ribosomal RNA, 281 nt
Filed under: uncultured Staphylococcus sp.
Lineage: Bacteria; Bacillati; Bacillota; Bacilli; Caryophanales; Staphylococcaceae
Description: partial 16S ribosomal RNA
Rfam family: Bacterial small subunit ribosomal RNA
Source: RNAcentral
CCUUUGACGUUAGCGGCGGACGGGUGAGUAACACGUGGGUAACCUACCUAUAAGACUGGGAUAACUUCGGGAAACCGGAGCUAAGUACCGGAUAAUAUUUCGAACCGCAUGGUUCGAUAGUGAAAGAUGGUUUUGCUAUCACUUAUAGAUGGACCCGCGCCGUAUUAGCUAGUUGGUAAGGUAACGGCUUACCAAGGCGACGAUACGUAGCCGACCUGAGAGGGUGAUCGGCCACACUGGAACUGAGACACGGUCCAGACUCCUACGGGAGGCAGCAAGGC